GAUGAACGCUAGCGGGAGGCCUAAUACAUGCAAGUCGAACGGUAAGGUCCCUUCGGGGAUACACGAGUGGCGGACGGGUGCGUAACGCGUACGAAACAUACCUUCAACAGGGAGAUACCUCCGGGAAACUGGAAAUAAUACCCCAUAGUAUUGAGAUAUCGCAUGAUAUUUCAAUUAAAGCUUUGGCGGUUGAAGAUUGUCGUGCGUCUGAUUAGCUAGUUGGUGAGGUAACGGCUCACCAAGGCGACGAUCAGUAGCUGGUCUGAGAGGAUGAUCAGCCACACUGGAACUGAGACACGGUCCAGACUCCUACGGGAGGCAGCAGUAGGGAAUAUUGGACAAUGGGCGGAAGCCUGAUCCAGCCAUCCCGCGU
RNAcentral lists this ribosomal RNA (373 nucleotides) under uncultured bacterium. RNAcentral describes it as "bacterial SSU rRNA". It matches the Rfam family "Bacterial small subunit ribosomal RNA", at positions 28 to 402 of the family's 1533-position model. The record is from RNAcentral.